UACGGAGGAUCCAAGCGUUAUCCGGAUUUAUUGGGUUUAAAGGGUGCGUAGGCGGCGUUGUAAGUCAGUGGUGAAAGCUUUCAGCUUAACUGGAAAAUUGCCAUUGAUACUGCAGUGCUUGAGUACAGAUGAGGUGGGCGGAAUUUGUCAUGUAGCGGUGAAAUGCAUAGAUAUGACACAGAACACCAAUUGCGAAGGCAGCUCACUAAGCCGUAACUGACGCUGAGGCACGAAAGCGUGGGUAUCAAACAGA
Molecule: ribosomal RNA, 253 nt
Filed under: uncultured bacterium
Lineage: Bacteria
Description: partial 16S ribosomal RNA
Rfam family: Bacterial small subunit ribosomal RNA
Source: RNAcentral